This 449-nucleotide ribosomal RNA is filed under the name uncultured bacterium. RNAcentral describes it as "partial 16S ribosomal RNA". It matches the Rfam family "Bacterial small subunit ribosomal RNA", at positions 29 to 523 of the family's 1533-position model. The record is from RNAcentral.
AGCGAACGCUGGCGGCAGGCCUAACGCAUGCAAGUCGAACGAACUCUUCGGAGUUAGUGGCGGACGGGUGAGUAACACGUGGGAACGUGCCUUUAGGUUCGGAAUAACUCAGGGAAACUUGUGCUAAUACCGAAUGUGCCCUUCGGGGGAAAGAUUUGUCGCCUCUAGAGGGGCCCGCAUCCUAUUAGGUAGUUGGUGAGGUAAUGGCUCACCAAGGCGAUGACAGGUAGCCGGUCUGAGAGGAUGACCAGCCAGAAUGGGACUGAGACACGGCCCAUACUCCUACGGGAGGCAGCAGUAAAGAAUAUUGCGCAAUGGAGGAAACUCUGACGCAGCGACGCCGCGUGAAUGACGAAGUCUUUCGGGAUGUAAAGUUCUGUCAAGAGGGACGAUAAUGACGGUACCUCUAAGGGAAGCCCCGGCUAAUUACGUGCCAGCAGCCGCAGUAA